UACGUAGGGUGCGAGCGUUAAUCGGAAUUACUGGGCGUAAAGCGUGCGCAGGCGGUUCGUUAAGUCAGCUGUGAAAGCCCCGGGCUUAACCUGGGAAUGGCGGUUGAAACUGGCGAACUUGAAUCUGGCAGAGGGGGGUGGAAUUCCACGUGUAGCAGUGAAAUGCGUAGAGAUCUGGAGGAACACCGAUGGCGAAGGCAGCCCCCUGGGCUAACACUGACGCUCAUGCACGAAAGCGUGGGGAGCAAACAGG
Molecule: ribosomal RNA, 253 nt
Filed under: uncultured bacterium
Lineage: Bacteria
Description: partial 16S ribosomal RNA
Rfam family: Bacterial small subunit ribosomal RNA
Source: RNAcentral